RNAcentral lists this non-coding RNA (30 nucleotides) under Mus musculus (house mouse). Lineage: Eukaryota; Metazoa; Chordata; Mammalia; Rodentia; Muridae. The record is from RNAcentral.
UAGAGAUGUUCUAUUGGAAGGUACCAGAGU